GACGAACGCUGGCGGCGUGCUUAACACAUGCAAGUCGAACGGAAAGGCCCUGCUCUUGUGGGGUGCUCGAGUGGCGAACGGGUGAGUAACACGUGAGUAACCUGCCCUUGACUUUGGGAUAACUUCAGGAAACUGGGGCUAAUAUCGGAUAGGAGCUCCUGCUGCACGGUGGGGGUUGGAAAGUUUCGGCGGUUGGGGAUGGACUAGCGGCUUAUCAGCUUGUUGGUGGGGUAGUUGCUUACCAAGCCUUUGACGGGUAGCCGGCCUGGGAGGGUGACCGGCCACAUGGGGACUGAGAUACGGCCCAGACUCCUACGGGAGGCAGCAGUGGAGAAUAUUGCACAAUGGGCGGAAGCCUGAUGCAGCAACGCCGCGUGCGGGAUGACGGCCUUCGGGUUGUAAACCGCUGUCGCCUGUGACGAAGCGUGAGUGACGGUAAUGGGUAAAGAAGCACCGGCUAACUACGUG
This 468-nucleotide ribosomal RNA is filed under the name uncultured bacterium. Its description in RNAcentral is "partial 16S ribosomal RNA". It matches the Rfam family "Bacterial small subunit ribosomal RNA", at positions 28 to 507 of the family's 1533-position model. The record is from RNAcentral.